GAAGGACUGAGGAAAAAUCAGAGACACAAGUUAAGUAAAUCAGCAGUCGGCUGAUGUUUCAGGAGAUCAUCUGUUGCACACCAGAACAAAACCUUGAUUUUCCAUUUCAUACUUGCCUUUGUCCUGACGUGCAGCUUAUCCAGAGGCAGGAAUGUGUUACGUGCCCAGCCUAUCCCAAGGCAAGGUAAAUGACAUCAACUGCUUCAUCCUCUGAGGAGGCAGAAUCUUCCCUGGAGAUGGUUUUGGAGUCUUAUGUAUUUCUGCUUCAGGAAAACAGCCAGAACAAUGAUCAGUUGGGACUGUCCCUGACCAACAAGAGUGAUGUCCAAAAACCACUGCUGGGAUAGAAGCAGUAGAAGCACCCAACCAUAUGCCUCUACCCAGAGGACAAUUCAGAUCAGGUUGUGCAGAUGGCAGGCUUGUAAAGAGAAGUAAAACAGGUUAUUAUUGCCUUCUGAUACCACAACAAAGGCAAAAAAGGAGCAGGGGAGCAGCGGGGGAUAAAGAAACACAUUAGUUUUAAUGGCUUUUUCUAGAAAAUAAGUUGUUAUUGUUGUCAUAGAAAAAAAUCAGCUGGAUGACAAAAUAUAAUUCUUUAUUAUUAUUAUUUUUUUUAUUUUUUAUUUUUUUAUCUUUUCAAAGCAAAUAAUUUUAAUCAGGAUAACUUGGGUCAGAAUCUCCUUCUCUAGAGACAUUCAAAACCCACCUGUUCAAAAUCCUGUUCACUCUGGCCCCUGCUUUGUCAGGGGGUUUGAAUUAGAUGGAUCUCCACAGGUCUGUUCCAAUCUCAAUUAUCCUGUGAUUCUGUAAAUCCAUCUGAAUUGAAUUAUCUAGCAACUGAGUUCAGUUUCCUUUAUAUAUCAUUAUUGUAAUUAAAGAGCAAAACACAUAAUACAUUUGUGCUAUCAAAAUAUAUCUUGAUUCCAGUCAGGUAUGGGUUAAUUUUUGCAAUAAUCAGGAGGGGGCACAUCUAGGACCCAGAGGUUAUUAUAUACCACCUCACCUCAUUGCUGGGGGCAAGAGGAAAGGAAUCUCUUCUGGAGAGAAGAGGGUCCUGCUGGUUGACUAAAUGUGCUGGAGGGAGUAUUUAUUUGGGU
RNAcentral lists this long non-coding RNA (1097 nucleotides) under Parus major (Great Tit). RNAcentral's name for it is "lncRNA (ENSPMJG00000002912.1)". Lineage: Eukaryota; Metazoa; Chordata; Aves; Passeriformes; Paridae. The record is from RNAcentral.